Molecule: ribosomal RNA, 433 nt
Filed under: uncultured bacterium
Lineage: Bacteria
Description: partial 16S ribosomal RNA
Rfam family: Bacterial small subunit ribosomal RNA
Source: RNAcentral
AACGAACGCUGGCGGCAUGCCUAACACAUGCAAGUCGAACGAGACCUUCGGGUCUAGUGGCGCACGGGUGCGUAACGCGUGGGAACCUGCCCUUAGGUUCGGAAUAACUCCCCGAAAGGGGUGCUAAUACCGGAUAAUGUCUUCGGACCAAAGAUUUAUCGCCUUUGGAUGGGCCCGCGUUGGAUUAGCUGGUUGGUAGGGUAAAAGCCUACCAAGGCGCCGAUCCAUAGCUGGUCUGAGAGGAUGAUCAGCCACACUGGGACUGAGACGCGGCCCAGACUCCUACGCGAUGCAGCAGUGGGGAAUAUAGGAAAACGGCGGAAGGCCUGAUCCAGCACUGCCGGGUGAGUGCUGAAGUCGUUAGGGUUGUAAAGCUCUUUUACCCGGGAUGAUAAUGACAGUACCGGGAGAAUAAGCUCCGGCUAACUCCGUG